GACGAACGCUGGCGGCGUGCUUAACACAUGCAAGUCGAACGGAAAGGCCUGCUUUCCCUUGUGGAUUGCGGGUACUCGAGUGGCGAACGGGUGAGUAACACGUGAGUGAUCUGCCCCCAACUUGGGUAUAAGCCUGGGAAACUGGGUCUAAUUCCCGAUAGGACUGCAGGGUGGUGCCUGUGGUGGAAAACGAUUUUCUAGAGGUUGGGGAUGAGCUCGCGGCCUAUCAGCUUGUUGGUGGGGUAAUGGCCUACCAAGGCGGCGACGGGUAGCCGGCCUGAGAGGGUGGACGGCCACAUUGGGACUGAGAGACGGCCCAGACUCCUACGGGAGGCAGCAGUGGGGAAUAUUGCACAAUGGGCGGAAGCCUGAUGCAGCGACGCCGCGUGGGGGAUGACGGCCUUCGGGUUGUAAACUCCUUUCGACCGCGAGGAAGCCACCUGGUUGGAAGGGUGGUGACGGUAGUGGUAGAAGAAGCACCGGCUAACUACGUG
Molecule: ribosomal RNA, 494 nt
Filed under: uncultured bacterium
Lineage: Bacteria
Description: partial 16S ribosomal RNA
Rfam family: Bacterial small subunit ribosomal RNA
Source: RNAcentral